Hibiscus syriacus is the source of this 662-nucleotide long non-coding RNA. RefSeq lists it as uncharacterized. Lineage: Eukaryota; Viridiplantae; Streptophyta; Magnoliopsida; Malvales; Malvaceae. The transcript is spliced from 4 exons. The record is from RefSeq and is a predicted model, not a curated record.
ACCAAAAUCAAAACGGUAUCUCUUCUUCUUCUUCUCCCUUCUCUCUUCUCUCUUCUCUCUUCAACGACUAAACCCUAAGACACCUCUUUUGUUUCUCUUUAAUUCUCUUGGUGAUGAUUUAGCUUGAGGUUUCUCUUCAGACCCGAUCCACCUCUGGCACAGUGAUGUUAAAGUAGCAGCAAAAUGCGGAAAAGGUUUUUCCGCUGCUGAAGAUGACAUGUUAGAUGUGUAUCCCUUGCAGUUAAGACUUACUAUUCCACGGGAAACAAAUUCAUUGGGAGUAAAAAUUAGCAAAAAAGACAAUACUGCAGAACUUUUCAGAAGAGCUUGCAAAAUCUUUAGUAUAGAUUCUGAGCAGUUACGGGUUUGGGACUUCUCCGGGCAGACAGCAAUAUAUUUUUUGAGCGAGAGAAGUAGAUUUCUCAAAGACUGUCAACGCCAAUUAGAUCUGGAUGUAAGAUGUAGUUUGCUUUUUUUUUUUUUGGAAUUAGAUGUCGGAUUGAGUCGAUUCAUUUGCUUGAUUUUGUUCAAUCCCCAUCCAAGAUAUCAACCUUAGGUAUGUAACACACAGUUCUUUUACUGUUGUGCUUGACCACGUGCCUUGCUUCGAAAUAGGAAGUUCAUGGCUGUGCUUGCCUAUCACAAACAUUCAAGCUUAUAGA